RNAcentral lists this long non-coding RNA (875 nucleotides) under Triticum aestivum (bread wheat). RNAcentral's name for it is "long non-coding RNA (TAES_LNC009968)". Lineage: Eukaryota; Viridiplantae; Streptophyta; Magnoliopsida; Poales; Poaceae. The record is from RNAcentral.
UCCAGGUUGUUCUCAACUUCGUAUAUCUGGGCAUUGGGAUAGCAGUUGCUUCCUUUCUUCGUAAGUGCAGCUCCCAUUCUAUUCUUGGAAUACAUGUUUCCUGUCAUUGAAAAUUUAGAUGUCAAGCAAUAGUACACAGGAAAAGAUAGUAAUACAUUCAGUACAUACCACUCUCAAUUAGACUUAACCACAGAGGAUUGUUUUUCUUUUUCCUUUUCGAAGAGGAAGUUUAACCCUCGGUCUCUGCAUCAUCGCUAACAACUAUACCUAAAUGCAGAGAAUAAUUAACAAGGUUAUAUAAUAUCAGAUGGAAACCAGCUUCUCCGCGAAAACUCAAAACUCCAUCAGAAGAGUACUCUAUAAACUUGUAAAUUUUCACAUCAAACUCAACUGCAGUUCAAAGAUACAAAAUUCACAAGCAGUGAGCAAUGAAACGAAACAGUGAUGUGCACCACAUUUGCGGUCAGACGUUUAGUCAGAUAUUGGGUGAGCUUUGUUGUUUCCACCUCCUUCUCGGUGUCAUCUUUUUAAGACAAAAUGAUACACACUUUGGUGCAUGAUCAAGAAAAAAAAACAGUGUAGGAGACACAAAUUUGUUCUUGCUUGGGUGAGGAAUGCAAUCGUCAAUUCGUUAUCAAUUAUCAUGUAUCCAUUCCAUGAGAAGUACCAACUGCAUUCCUAAAAACUGAAUAUGUCUGGUUAAAUUUAUGCUAAUGGCAAAGAAGUUACCCCACUAUAAAAGGCUCACCCUUCAUUAUCUUCCAGAGAUGUCAUGCUGGACAACGUCAGGAGAAAGGCAGUCAGCCCGCAUCCGUUCUUUGUACCUGAAAUCAGUUCUGAGGCAAGAUAUUGCAUUCUUCGACACAGAAAUGACA